GACAAAUAAACAAAUGAAAUCUAUAUAAUAGAGGAAAGUGCGAGUCCAAAAAGGAGUAAAGUAGUGAAGACUAGUACAAAUCUCUACCCUUACACUCCACGAAAGAAUAUAAAAAAAAGGAGGCAAUGUGGCCAAAUCUCUAAGCAGAUCCAAAUGAGGACCCCUUCACCAUAAAUAACCAAAAGAUAAAUUAUACAUGUCAAAUAUCAAAAUAUGUUUUGAACUCUUUAGAACAAGAGCCAGCUCAUCACAGCCCAUCCAGCUACCAAACUUCCUAGCAUCUUCAAUUUCUCUGCUCCACUCUCAUCGUUAAGAGAUGGGCUAGGAGCUGAAUCGGAGUCCAUGCUAGGUCCAGGAGCUUCGGAAGGAGGUGCAGGUGGGCUCAUCAUAUCGGGAGAAGGUGCUGGUGAUGCAUUGUGUUUCUUUCCCUUCUUUCCCUUUACUUUUCCUUUGCUAGGAGCCGGAGCUGGAGUUGUCUCCGAAGC
Molecule: unclassified non-coding RNA, 485 nt
Filed under: Hevea brasiliensis (rubber tree)
Lineage: Eukaryota; Viridiplantae; Streptophyta; Magnoliopsida; Malpighiales; Euphorbiaceae
Source: RNAcentral